Dipodomys ordii (Ord's kangaroo rat) is the source of this 9087-nucleotide RNA transcript. It is a transcript of the gene named HECT domain containing E3 ubiquitin protein ligase 1, with no coding region annotated. The transcript has 44 exons. The record is from RefSeq and is a predicted model, not a curated record. Lineage: Eukaryota; Metazoa; Chordata; Mammalia; Rodentia; Heteromyidae.
CCCCGCCGCCGCCGCCGGCAACCCCGCGCGGGCCUCCCUCUGAACUGCAGGGCCUGAGGAGCCGCGUGCCGGGGACCCGACCUCCGCCGUCGGCCGCCGCUGCUGAGGGGAAACCUCUCGCCUCCCCCCUGUCACCAGGUCCCCGCCGGAGGAAGGGGAGGGACGAGACGCGGCUUUUCCUGUGCCGCCUGCCGGGCUCGACCAGCGCGGCCUGCGGCUUCCUGGGAACUCGAGGGCCGCGGCCGGGCCUGGCUCUGCCCGCGGCCUGCUUUGGGAGCUGGACCGGGAGCAGUUUGGGACGCCAAGCCUGGCGAAGAGGCUUUUAAAAAACCAUGGCAGAUGUGGAUCCGGAUACAUUGCUGGAAUGGCUACAGAUGGGACAGGGAGAUGAAAGGGACAUGCAACUAAUAGCCCUCGAACAGCUAUGCAUGCUGCUUUUGAUGUCUGACAACGUGGAUCGUUGUUUUGAAACGUGUCCUCCUCGCACUUUCUUACCAGCCCUCUGCAAAAUUUUUCUUGAUGAAAGUGCUCCAGACAAUGUGUUAGAGGUGACAGCUCGAGCCAUAACAUACUACCUGGACGUAUCUGCAGAAUGCACCCGAAGGAUUGUUGGGGUAGAUGGAGCUAUAAAAGCACUUUGUAAUCGUUUGGUUGUGGUUGAACUUAACAACAGGACUAGCAGAGACUUAGCUGAACAAUGUGUAAAAGUGUUGGAACUGAUAUGCACCCGUGAGUCAGGAGCAGUUUUUGAGGCUGGUGGUUUGAAUUGUGUGCUUACCUUCAUUCGUGACAGUGGACACCUGGUUCACAAAGAUACCUUGCACUCUGCAAUGGCUGUGGUAUCAAGACUCUGUGGCAAAAUGGAACCUCAGGAUUCUUCUUUAGAAAUUUGUGUAGAAUCUCUGUCUAGUUUACUAAAACAUGAAGAUCAUCAGGUUUCAGAUGGAGCACUGCGAUGUUUUGCCUCACUAGCAGACCGAUUUACUCGUCGUGGUGUUGACCCAGCUCCAUUAGCCAAACAUGGAUUAACUGAGGAACUCUUAUCUCGAAUGGCAGCUGCUGGUGGUACUGUAUCAGGACCCUCAUCAGCAUGCAAACCAGGUCGAAGCACCACUGGAGCCCCUUCCACAACUGCUGAUUCCAAGUUGAGUAACCAAGUGUCAACGAUUGUAAGUUUGCUCUCAACACUUUGCAGAGGCUCUCCGGUAGUAACACACGAUCUCCUUAGGUCAGAGCUUCCAGAUUCAAUUGAGAGUGCAUUACAGGGUGAUGAAAGAUGUGUGCUUGAUACCAUGCGUUUGGUUGAUCUUCUGUUGGUGCUAUUAUUUGAAGGACGAAAAGCUUUGCCUAAGUCUAGUGCUGGAUCUACAGGCAGAAUCCCAGGACUUCGGAGAUUGGAUAGUUCUGGGGAACGUUCACAUCGGCAGCUUAUAGACUGUAUUCGAAGUAAAGAUACUGAUGCACUUAUAGAUGCAAUUGACACAGGAGCCUUUGAAGUGAACUUUAUGGAUGAUGUGGGUCAGACUCUACUGAACUGGGCCUCUGCCUUUGGAACUCAGGAAAUGGUAGAAUUUCUUUGUGAGAGAGGUGCUGAUGUUAAUAGGGGUCAAAGGUCAUCAUCAUUACAUUAUGCUGCCUGUUUUGGAAGACCUCAAGUAGCAAAGACUCUGUUAAGGCAUGGUGCAAAUCCAGAUUUAAGAGAUGAAGAUGGGAAAACUCCAUUAGAUAAAGCUCGUGAAAGAGGCCAUAGUGAAGUUGUAGCUAUUCUUCAGUCUCCUGGUGACUGGAUGUGUCCAGUUAAUAAAGGAGAUGAUAAGAAAAAGAAAGAUACAAAUAAGGAUGAAGAAGAAUGUAAUGAGCCCAAAGGAGAUCCAGAAAUGGCACCAAUAUACUUGAAAAGGUUAUUGCCAGUGUUUGCACAAACAUUUCAGCAAACCAUGCUGCCUUCAAUAAGGAAAGCAAGUCUUGCUCUAAUUCGAAAAAUGAUUCAUUUUUGCUCUGAAGCACUGUUAAAAGAAGUUUGUGACUCUGAUGUUGGUCAUAAUUUGCCUACAGUACUAGUGGAAAUCACUGCAACUGUUCUUGAUCAAGAGGAUGAUGAUGAUGGCCACUUGCUUGCUUUGCAGAUCAUAAGGGAUUUAGUAGAUAAAGGUGGUGAUAUUUUUUUGGAUCAGCUAGCCAGACUUGGUGUAAUUAGCAAAGUGUCAACUUUGGCAGGUCCCUCCUCUGAUGAUGAAAAUGAAGAGGAGUCAAAACCAGAAAAAGAAGAUGAACCGCAGGAAGAUGCUAAAGAAUUGCAGCAAGGUAAACCCUAUCAUUGGAGAGACUGGUCAAUCAUUAGAGGAAGGGACUGCUUAUAUAUUUGGAGUGAUGCUGCAGCUUUGGAAUUAUCUAAUGGCAGUAAUGGAUGGUUCAGAUUUAUCCUGGAUGGAAAACUUGCUACCAUGUAUUCAAGUGGUAGCCCUGAAGGUGGAUCAGAUAGUUCAGAAAGCAGAAGUGAAUUCCUAGAGAAACUACAAAGAGCUCGAGGGCAAGUAAAGCCAUCUACUUCAAGUCAACCUAUACUAUCAGCACCAGGACCCACUAAACUUACUGUUGGGAAUUGGUCACUAACAUGCUUAAAAGAAGGAGAAAUUGCUAUUCAUAACUCAGAUGGUCAGCAAGCUACAAUAUUGAAAGAAGAUUUACCUGGUUUUGUAUUUGAAUCUAAUAGAGGAACCAAACAUUCAUUUACUGCAGAAACUUCUCUGGGUUCAGAAUUUGUGACUGGCUGGACUGGCAAGAGAGGCAGAAAACUGAAAUCUAAAUUAGAAAAAACAAAGCAAAAGGUACGAACUAUGGCUCGAGAUUUAUAUGAUGACCACUUUAAAGCUGUUGAAAGCAUGCCUCGAGGAGUAGUGGUAACACUAAGAAACAUAGCAACUCAGUUAGAGUCAUCUUGGGAGCUUCAUACGAAUAGACAAUGUAUUGAAGGUGAGAACACUUGGCGUGAUUUAAUGAAGACAGCUUUAGAAAAUCUAAUUGUACUUUUGAAGGAUGAAAACACAAUUUCACCAUAUGAAAUGUGCAGUAGUGGUUUAGUACAAGCACUUCUUACUGUUUUAAAUAAUAGCAUGGAUUUGGAUAUGAAGCAAGAUUGUAGUCAACUGGUAGAAAGAAUAAAUGUUUUCAAAACAGCCUUUAGUGAAAAUGAAGAUGAUGAAAGUCGACCAGCAGUUGCGUUAAUUCGAAAGUUAAUAGCAGUACUAGAAUCAAUUGAACGAUUACCUCUCCAUUUAUACGAUACACCAGGAUCUACAUAUAACCUCCAGAUACUUACAAGGAGAUUGCGUUUUCGUUUGGAACGUGCACCUGGUGAAACUGCACUGAUUGAUCGGACUGGCAGAAUGUUGAAGAUGGAACCAUUAGCUACUGUUGAAUCUCUAGAACAGUAUCUCUUGAAGAUGGUAGCAAAACAGUGGUAUGAUUUUGACCGAUCUUCAUUUGUUUUUGUUCGAAAACUCAGAGAAGGCCAAAAUUUCAUAUUUAGACACCAGCAUGAUUUUGAUGAAAAUGGAAUCAUUUACUGGAUUGGGACAAAUGCAAAAACUGCGUAUGAAUGGGUUAAUCCUGCUGCCUAUGGACUUGUAGUAGUAACAUCAUCAGAAGGAAGAAAUUUACCAUAUGGUCGAUUGGAAGAUAUACUAAGUCGUGAUAAUUCAGCUUUAAAUUGUCAUAGCAAUGAUGAUAAGAAUGCCUGGUUUGCUAUAGAUCUGGGUCUCUGGGUGAUACCAUCAGCGUAUACACUUCGCCAUGCUCGUGGUUAUGGAAGAUCUGCACUGAGAAAUUGGGUUUUCCAGGUAUCCAAAGAUGGACAGAACUGGACUUCUUUGUAUACCCAUGUUGAUGACUGCAGUCUCAAUGAACCAGGAUCAACUGCAACCUGGCCUCUUGAUCCACCAAAGGAUGAAAAGCAAGGGUGGCGACAUGUGAGAAUUAAACAGAUGGGGAAGAAUGCUAGUGGUCAAACACACUACCUCUCACUAUCUGGAUUUGAACUUUAUGGCACUGUGAAUGGAGUAUGUGAAGAUCAACUAGGGAAAGCAGCUAAGGAGGCAGAAGCUAAUCUUAGAAGACAGAGACGUUUAGUACGCUCACAAGUUCUGAAAUACAUGGUUCCAGGUGCACGUGUUAUCAGAGGCCUUGAUUGGAAAUGGCGAGAUCAAGAUGGCAGCCCUCAAGGAGAAGGCACUGUCACAGGAGAAUUACAUAAUGGCUGGAUUGAUGUCACCUGGGAUGCUGGUGGCUCAAACUCUUACCGUAUGGGCGCAGAAGGAAAAUUUGACCUCAAGCUUGCACCAGGGUACGACCCUGAUACAGUGGCAUCACCCAAACCUGUUUCAUCCACUGUUUCAGGCACAACGCAAUCAUGGAGCAGCUUGGUGAAAAACAACUGUCCUGACAAGACAUCUGCUGCUGCAGGCUCCUCAAGUAGAAAAGGAAGCAGCAGUUCUGUGUGUAGCGUGGCCAGUAGCAGCGACAUCAGCUUGGGUUCGACCAAAACGGAACGGAGAUCAGAAAUUGUAAUGGAACACAGUAUAGUUUCAGGAGCUGAUGUCCAUGAACCAAUUGUUGUUCUUUCAUCUGCUGAAAACGUCCCUCAAACAGAAGUAGGGUCAUCUUCCAGUGCAAGCACCAGCACCUUAACAGCGGAAACGGGAAGUGAAAAUGUUGAAAGGAAGUUAGGCCCUGAUAGUUCUGUUCGUACUCCUGGGGAGUCUAGUGCAAUAUCCAUGGGAAUUGUUAGUGUUAGUUCUCCUGACGUUAGUUCAGUAUCUGAAUUAACUAAUAAAGAAGCAGCUUCACAACGACCUCUUAGCUCUUCAGCAAGUAACAGACUGUCAGUGAGUUCUUUGUUGGCUGCUGGGGCCCCCAUGAGCUCUAGUGCAAGUGUACCUAACCUGUCCUCAAGAGAAACAUCUAGCUUGGAGAGUUUUGUAAGGAGAGUGGCAAACAUAGCACGGACUAAUGCCACGAACAACAUGAAUCUAAGCCGAAGCAGCAGUGAUAACAACACUAAUACUUUGGGGAGGAAUGUGAUGAGCACAGCAACUUCUCCUCUUAUGGGUGCUCAGAGUUUCCCUAAUUUGACCACACCUGGUACUACAUCAACAGUGACCAUGUCAACAUCCAGUGUUACUAGCAGCAGCAAUGUAGCUACUGCAACGACAGUUUUAUCAGUGGGUCAGUCAUUAAGUAAUACUUUAACCACCAGCCUCACAUCAACCUCCAGUGAGAGUGACACCGGUCAGGAAGCAGAAUAUUCCUUAUAUGAUUUUCUUGAUAGCUGCCGUGCUAGUACUCUGUUAGCUGAACUCGAUGAUGAUGAGGAUUUACCUGAGCCUGAUGAAGAAGAUGAUGAGAAUGAAGAUGACAAUCAAGAGGACCAAGAAUACGAGGAGGUUAUGAUUCUGAGACGUCCAUCCCUGCAACGUCGAGCUGGCUCUCGCUCUGAUGUAACACAUCAUGCUGUCACCUCCCAACUACCACAGGUCCCUCCUGGAGCAGGGAGCCGACCUAUUGGGGAGCAGGAAGAAGAAGAGUAUGAAACGAAAGGAGGACGGCGGAGAACAUGGGAUGACGAUUAUGUGCUAAAGCGGCAAUUUUCUGCUCUAGUCCCAGCUUUUGAUCCUAGGCCUGGUCGUACUAAUGUCCAACAGACAACUGACCUAGAAAUUCCGCCCCCAGGAACACCUCAUUCAGAGCUCUUGGAAGAAGUUGAAUGUACUCCCUCACCUCGAUUAGCCCUCACUUUGAAAGUAACUGGUCUUGGAACAACUCGUGAAGUUGAAUUGCCACUCACCAAUUUCAGAUCAACCAUCUUUUAUUAUGUACAAAAAUUACUUCAGUUGUCCUGUAAUGGCAAUGUGAAAUCAGAUAAACUUAGACGUAUUUGGGAGCCAACAUACACGAUCAUGUACAGAGAAAUGAAGGAUUCGGACAAGGAAAAGGAAAACGGAAAAAUGGGCUGCUGGUCUGUAGAGCAUGUGGAACAGUACCUGGGCACUGAUGAAUUACCAAAGAAUGACUUGAUAACCUACCUGCAGAAGAAUGCAGAUGCUGCUUUCCUGCGUCACUGGAAAUUAACUGGCACUAAUAAAAGUAUUAGGAAAAACAGAAAUUGUUCUCAGCUCAUAGCUGCAUAUAAGGAUUUUUGUGAACAUGGAACAAAGUCUGGAUUAAACCAGGGCGCCAUAUCUAGUCUUCAAAGUAGUGACAUUCUUAAUUUGACAAAAGAACAACCUCAGGCUAAAGCAGGCAAUGGACAGAAUUCUUGUGGAGUAGAAGAUGUCCUUCAGCUUCUGCGUAUUUUGUAUAUAGUUGCGAGUGACCCUUAUUCAAGAAUAUCCCAAGAAGAUGGUGAUGAGCAGCCUCAGUUUAUUUUUCCACCAGAUGAAUUUACUAGCAAAAAAAUCACAACAAAAAUUUUGCAGCAGAUUGAGGAACCACUGGCAUUGGCAAGUGGCGCUCUGCCAGACUGGUGUGAACAAUUAACCAGCAAGUGUCCUUUUCUAAUACCUUUUGAAACUAGACAGCUUUAUUUCACAUGUACAGCAUUUGGUGCAUCAAGAGCAAUAGUGUGGUUACAAAACCGACGUGAAGCCACUGUGGAACGAACAAGGACCACAAGCAGUGUAAGGCGAGAUGAUCCUGGAGAAUUUAGAGUUGGUCGUCUCAAGCAUGAAAGAGUAAAAGUCCCACGUGGGGAAUCACUGAUGGAAUGGGCUGAGAAUGUCAUGCAAAUACAUGCAGAUCGGAAGUCAGUUCUUGAGGUUGAAUUUUUAGGAGAAGAAGGAACUGGCUUGGGACCCACAUUAGAAUUUUAUGCUCUGGUGGCAGCAGAAUUCCAGAGAACUGACUUGGGAGCUUGGCUUUGUGAUGAUAAUUUUCCAGAUGAUGAAUCUCGCCAAGUGGAUCUUGGAGGUGGAUUGAAACCUCCUGGUUACUAUGUACAGAGAUCAUGUGGACUGUUCACAGCACCGUUCCCACAAGAUAGUGAUGAGCUUGAAAGGAUCACAAAACUCUUUCAUUUCCUUGGUAUUUUCUUGGCUAAAUGUAUUCAAGACAAUAGACUUGUGGACAUACCUAUUUCUAAGCCCUUCUUUAAACUUAUGUGUAUGGGUGACAUUAAAAGCAAUAUGAGUAAACUGAUUUAUGAAUCACGAGGUGAUAGAGACUUACACUGCACUGAAAGCCAGUCUGAAGCUUCUACAGAAGAAGGCCAUGAUUCACUGUCAGUAGGAAGCUUUGAAGAGGAUUCAAAAUCUGAAUUUAUUCUUGAUCCCCCUAAGCCCAAACCCCCAGCUUGGUUUAAUGGAAUUUUAACUUGGGAAGACUUUGAACUUGUAAACCCACACAGAGCCAGAUUUUUAAAAGAAAUUAAGGACCUUGCUAUCAAGAGACGACAGAUUUUAAGCAACAAAAGUCUUUCUGAAGAUGAGAAGAACACAAAAUUACAGGAACUAGUACUGAAGAAUCCAUCAGGUUCUGGUCCUCCACUUAGCAUAGAGGAUUUAGGAUUAAAUUUCCAGUUUUGCCCUUCUUCUAGAAUUUAUGGUUUUACAGCUGUGGAUCUCAAGCCAAGUGGUGAAGAUGAGAUGAUAACAAUGGAUAAUGCAGAAGAAUAUGUGGAUUUGAUGUUUGACUUUUGUAUGCAUACAGGUAUUCAGAAACAGAUGGAAGCCUUUAGAGAUGGGUUUAAUAAAGUUUUUCCAAUGGAGAAAUUAAGUUCCUUCAGUCAUGAGGAAGUCCAGAUGAUUCUUUGUGGAAACCAGUCACCUUCAUGGGCAGCAGAAGAUAUUAUCAAUUACACUGAACCUAAGCUAGGUUAUACACGUGACAGCCCUGGUUUCCUGAGGUUUGUGAGAGUUUUAUGUGGCAUGUCUUCAGAUGAGAGGAAAGCGUUCCUGCAGUUUACCACUGGUUGUUCAACUCUACCCCCAGGCGGACUGGCUAACCUCCAUCCCAGACUCACAGUUGUACGAAAGGUUGAUGCUACUGAUGCAAGCUAUCCAUCAGUCAAUACAUGUGUACAUUAUCUUAAGUUGCCUGAAUAUUCUUCUGAGGAGAUCAUGAGAGAACGAUUGCUAGCUGCUACAAUGGAGAAAGGCUUUCAUCUCAAUUGAGUUCUGAAGUAAAAUGGGAGUCAUCAGAGACUUAAAAUUCUAGUGAAGCGCCUCUUGUGUUUGUGUGCAGAGAAAUGUGAUCCUCCACGCUAAUGACACUUGCCUUUUAUCCCACCAUUAAGGCUUUAAGAACAUGUGGAAUAACUUUGUUAGCUGCUAAUGACAAAAAAAAAAAUCCUUUAACUACCCAGCCAGCAGGUAUAUUGCACAGGACAGGACACUGUGUUGAUUCACAAGGGCUCAUGUGACUGGAAAAGAUGGUCCCACUCACUCAACUGUUCCAAAGAGCAGCUUCUCAGAUCUUCAGUGUUCACUGGAGCAAAGCAAGCCAAAGCCAUUGUCCAAGGUCACAGAACUGGGAAAUGCCAGAGCUGGAAUUUAAGCCCACUGUUGGUGUUUAAGGGCUCUGCUCUCCAGGCUUCUCUAGGGGACCUCAAGGCUGUCAAGCAGGCACACAUCCCUGGCCCCUAAAUCGCUACCCCCGCCCCCUCAAUGAUGCCUUGAUAGCCCUGCAGCAUCAGCUAUCUUCUCUGCCAGACUGAAGUAGAAGGUAAGGCAUACCAAUUAAAUUUCCCAAGAAAAUAAAAGUUCUGAAUUUUUCUUACAAAUGCAUAGUUCUUGGAAAUUAAGCCACUUUUACUGGUGUUCUUAUUGGAAAGUUACUCUAGUGCAUAGGGGAAGUAGAAAGUAACAAAAAAAUGAUUCCUAGUAAACUAGAAAGAACCAAUGGUUCCCCUAAGAAACCCUUAAUCUGAGUCCUUAUGUUGUGAAAGAUAGUAACAAAUGAGGUGAACUUAAGUUUCCAUUCCUAAACAGGUUAGAUUGCAAAACACCCAGCAAGUUUCAAAUAGACACUUUAAGUGAUUAAGUUCACUAGAAAAGCCAAGCACCGGAGGCUCAUGCCUGUAAUCAUAACUACUCA